GACGAACGCUGGCGGCGUGCUUAACACAUGCAAGUCGAACGGAAAGGCCCUGCUUGCCGGGUACUCGAGUGGCGAACGGGUGAGUAACACGUGGGUGAUCUGCCCUGCACUUCGGGAUAAGCCUGGGAAACUGGGUCUAAUACCGGAUAGGAGCCAUUUUUAGUGUGAUGGUUGGAAAGUUUUUUCGGUGUAGGAUGAGCUCGCGGCCUAUCAGCUUGUUGGUGGGGUAAUGGCCUACCAAGGCGGCGACGGGUAGCCGGCCUGAGAGGGUGGACGGCCACAUUGGGACUGAGAGACGGCCCAGACUCCUACGGGAGGCAGCAGUGGGGAAUAUUGCACAAUGGGCGCAAGCCUGAUGCAGAGACGCCGCGUGGGGGAUGACGGCCUUCGGGUUGUAAACGCCUUUCGCUAGGGACGAAGCUUUUUGUGACGGUACCUAGAUAAGAAGCACCGGCUAACUACGUG
RNAcentral lists this ribosomal RNA (465 nucleotides) under uncultured bacterium. RNAcentral describes it as "partial 16S ribosomal RNA". It matches the Rfam family "Bacterial small subunit ribosomal RNA", at positions 28 to 507 of the family's 1533-position model. The record is from RNAcentral.